This 3046-nucleotide small RNA is filed under the name Pan troglodytes (chimpanzee). RNAcentral's name for it is "processed transcript". Lineage: Eukaryota; Metazoa; Chordata; Mammalia; Primates; Hominidae. The record is from RNAcentral.
CAUCGCACUUUUCCAUCUGCUGGCCACACGCACAGACAAGUGGUCAUCUAUUUCCAGGUGCGUCCAGAUCCAACCCCAGGGAGUUUCCGUGGUCUGGAUUUAAGUUUCAGAAUGCCUUGUGUGCAGUCCCCCACUCUGUGGGGUGCGCUGUCAUCAUAUUGUGUUGAAACGAUGAGAUGGUAUUUGAAGGCAGCAGGUUUCCAGAUGAGCUGGACAAGCAUGUUCAUUGAGUCAUGGGACCUGCCAUUAACGAAACAAAAUUAAGGCAGUUCUAACAGACGGAGUCUGUGUUGCCCAGGCUGGUAUCGAACUUCUGGGCUCAAGCAAUUCUCCCACCUCGGCCUCCCAAAGUGCUGGGAUUACAGGUGGCUUCCGAGUGGACCUGCCAAUCAAGUCGGCCCGCUACCGUGGCCAGUACAACACCUAUCCCAUCAAGCUCUUCUAUACAUCCAACAUCCCCAUCAUCCUGCAGUCUGCCCUGGUGUCCAACCUUUAUGUCAUCUCCCAAAUGCUCUCAGCUCGCUUCAGUGGCAACUUGCUGGUCAGCCUGCUGGGCACCUGGUCGGACACGUCUUCUGGGGGCCCAGCACGUGCUUAUCCAGUUGGUGGCCUUUGCUAUUACCUGUCCCCUCCAGAAUCUUUUGGCUCCGUGUUAGAAGACCCGGUCCAUGCAGUUGUAUACAUAGUGUUCAUGCUGGGCUCCUGUGCAUUCUUCUCCAAAACGUGGAUUGAGGUCUCAGGUUCCUCUGCCAAAGAUGUUGCAAAGCAGCUGAAGGAGCAGCAGAUGGUGAUGAGAGGCCACCGAGAGACCUCCAUGGUCCAUGAACUCAACCGGUACAUCCCCACAGCCGCGGCCUUUGGUGGGCUGUGCAUCGGGGCCCUCUCGGUCCUGGCUGACUUCCUGGGCGCCAUUGGGUCUGGAACUGGGAUCCUGCUCGCAGUCACAAUCAUCUACCAGUACUUUGAGAUCUUCGUUAAGGAGCAAAGCGAGGUUGGCAGCAUGGGGGCCCUGCUCUUCUGAGCCCAUCUCCCGGACAGGUUGAGGAAGCUGCUCCAGAAGCGCCUCGGAAGGGGAGCUCUCAUCAUGGCGCAUGCUGCUGUGGCAUAUGGACUUUUGUUUAAUAAUGUUUUUGAAUUUUGUAUUCUUUCAUUCCACUGUGUAAAGUGCUAGACAUUUUCCAAUUUAAAAUUUUGCUUUUUAUCCUGGCAUUGGCAAAAAGAACUGUGAAAGUGAAAUUUUAUUCAGCCGACUGCCAGAGAAGUGGGAAUGGUAUAGGAUUGUCCCCAAGUGUCCAUGUAACUUUUGUUUUAACCUUUGCACCUUCUCAGUGCCGUAUGCGGCUGCAGCCGUCUCACCUGUUUCCCCACAAAGGGAAUUUCUCACUCUGGUUGGAAGCACAAACACUGAAAUGUCUACAUUUCAUUUUGGCAGUAGGGUGUGAAGCUGGGAGCAGAUCAUGUAUUUCCCGGAGACGUGGGACCUUGCUGGCAUGUCUCCUUCACAAUCAGGCGUGGGAAUAUCUGGCUUAGGACUGUUUCUCUCUAAGACACCAUUGUUUUCCCUUAUUUUAAAAGUGAUUUUUUUUAAGGACAGAACUUCUUCCAAAAGAGAGGGAUGGCUUUCCCAGAAGACACUCCUGGCCAUCUGUGGAUUUGUCUGUGCACCUAUUGGCUCUUCUAGCUGACUCUUCUGGUUGGGCUUAGAGUCUGCCUGUUUCUGCUAGCUCCGUGUUUAGUCCACUUGGGUCAUCAGCUCUGCCAAGCUGAGCCUGGCCAAGCUAGGUGGACAGACCCUUGCAGUGAUGUCCGUUUGUCCAGAUUCUGCCAGUCAUCACUGGACACGUCUCCUCGCAGCUGCCCUAGCAAGGGGAGACAUUGUGGUAGCUAUCAGACAUGGACAGAAACUGACUUAGUGCUCACAAGCCCCUACACCUUCUGGGCUGAAGAUCACCCAGCUGUGUUCAGAAUUUUCUUACUGUGCUUAGGACUGCACGCAAGUGAGCAGACACCACCAACUUCUUUCUGCGUCACCAGUGUCGUCAGCAGAGAGAGGACAGCACAGGCUCAAGGUUGGUAGUGAAGUCAGGUUCGGGGUGCAUGGGCUGUGGUGGUGUUGAUCAGUUGCUCCAGUGUUUGAAAUAAGAAGACUCAUGUUUAUGUCUGGAAUAAGUUCUGUUUGUGCUGACAGGUGGCCUAGGUCCUGGAGAUGAGCACCCUCUCUCUGGCCUUUAGGGAGUCCCCUCUUAGGACAGGCACUGCCCAGCAGCAAGGGCAGCAGAGUUGGGUGCUAAGAUCCUGAGGAGCUCGAGGUUUCGAGCUGGCUUUAGACAUUGGUGGGACCAAGGAUGUUUUGCAGGAUGCCCUGAUCCUAAGAAGGGGGCCUGGGGGUGCGUGCAGCCUGUCGGGGAGACCCCACACUGACAGUGGGCACACGGCAGCCUGCAAAGCACAGGGCCACUGCCACAGCCCGGCAGAGGGGCACACUCUGGAGACCUUGCUGGCAGUGCUAGCCAGGAAACAGAGUGACCAAGGGACAAGAAGGGACUUGCCUAAAGCCACCCAGCAACUCAGCAGCAGAACCAAGAUGGGCCCCAGGCUCCUCCAUAUGGCCCAGGGCUUACCACCCUAUCACACGUGGCCUUGUCUAGACCCAGUCCUGAGCAGGGGAGAGGCUCUUGAGACCUGAUGCCCUCCUACCCACAUGGUUCUCCCACUGCCCUGUCCGCUUUGCUGCUACAGAGGGGCAGGGCCUCCCCCAGCCCACGCUUAGGAAUGCUUGGCCUCUGGCAGGCAGGCAGCUGUACCCAAGCUGGUGCGCAGGGGGCUGGAGGGCACCAGGCCUCAGGAGGAGCCCCAUAGUCCUGCCUGCAGCCUGUAACCAUCGGCUGGGCCCUGCAAGGCCCACACUCACGCCCUGUGGGUGAUGGUCACGGUGGGUGGGUGGGGGCUGACCCCAGCUUCCAGGGGACUGUCACUGUGGACGCCAAAAUGGCAUAACUGAGAUAAGGUGAAUAAGUGACAAAUAAAGCCAGUUUUUUACAAGGUA